This 253-nucleotide ribosomal RNA is filed under the name uncultured bacterium. RNAcentral's name for it is "partial 16S ribosomal RNA". It matches the Rfam family "Bacterial small subunit ribosomal RNA", at positions 524 to 776 of the family's 1533-position model. The record is from RNAcentral.
UACGUAGGUGGCAAGCGUUGUCCGGAUUUAUUGGGUUUAAAGGGUGCGUAGGCGGUCUUAUAAGUCAGUGGUGAAAUCCUAUCGCUUAACGAUAGAAUUGCCAUUGAUACUGUAGGACUUGAGUACAGUUGCCGUUGGCGGAAUAUGACAUGUAGUGGUGAAAUACAUAGAGAUGUCAUAGAACACCGAUUGCGAAGGCAGCUAACGAAACUGUAACUGACGCUGAGGCUCGAAAGUGCGGGGAUCAAACAGG